AAAUUCUCUUGUGAUAUAUUCAGGUAUACAUGUUUUGAGUCCUCUUUUAUUUUUUGUUUAUGCAAUUAUCUUCAUUUUUUAGAUGUUUAGUUGGUGCUUGUAAAGAGCAGUAUUAGGAAAUGAACUAAAAAGAAAGCAAGUGUGGAGUCUGAAGGGAGUUGAGGGGUUGAGGAAAGUUCAUAAACCCUUUUGAGAUUUUUUUAGAAAAAUUCCAGAUAUCACACUAUUAUUAUACAAAUAAAAUC
RNAcentral lists this unclassified non-coding RNA (245 nucleotides) under Hevea brasiliensis (rubber tree). The record is from RNAcentral. Lineage: Eukaryota; Viridiplantae; Streptophyta; Magnoliopsida; Malpighiales; Euphorbiaceae.